This is a long non-coding RNA of Vidua chalybeata, 1788 nucleotides long. RefSeq lists it as uncharacterized. NCBI's taxonomy places the organism in Eukaryota, Metazoa, Chordata, Aves, Passeriformes, Viduidae. The record is from RefSeq and is a predicted model, not a curated record. The transcript is spliced from 3 exons.
GUUGUGCUGGCCAGUCACAGUGCCUGCCAGACUGCAGCCAGCUGGAGACACUUUUUUACCCCAAAGCCUCUCUUCUGCAGCUGAACACUGAAGAAAUGCACUGAAGACAGGGUUUUGCAGUUUUGCCCUCCAUUAAUUCCCUCCAAAACUGAAGGAGGUUCACAGCUUAGCUGUGUUUUUGACUUGAUCAGUCACUGGACUCAUUAUGGAAAGCAUCUGUGAGAUCCUACAUUUUCUAAGACCACCUCAAUCUGAGCAAAAUUAUGAGGUCAGGUAGAAGGUGUUAAUCACCUCCAUAUUGUAUUGCCUUGCACAGCAUUACCACGCAGGUCUGGCUGAGGUGAAUGAUGCAUAGAGGUCACAGCAUGCCUGCAAAUUGAUGGAACCAACUGGCAUGGGUGCUGCCCUUAAUCUGCCCUGAGCAGCACUGCAUUCUCUCUCUCCAAAUUUUGAUUAAAAUAGAUUUCUCUACCCUUCUCCAAAUCAGUAGAAAUUCAUGGAGCUUGCUUGGGACCUGGGUGAAGUCCUGCACAACUACAUUAAUCCCCUAAUUGAAAGUCAUAGCCAGCUGAGAAAGAUGGGAAACAGGGCUGCUCUGUGAGAAGCUGGCUUGGUACUCCUAGAAGGAAAAACAAGGGUGGCCUCCUUCUCUGUGGAGUGGAGCUUCAGAUGCCUCCAAACCCCUGUUGAAGAGAAAGCUGAAAAAUACCCAUGUCAUAAAACGGUACUACAUUUUCCUGCUUAGUUCUGGCCUGGACAUAGAAAGAAAUCCUCUUACCCUCAGCGCUACAGAUGAGAAGUUUUGUGUGAGGGUCUCUUUUGGUCCAGCUCUUCUGACUCUGCGUUCUUGUUGUGCACCACUGCGAGCAGCUAACACCACUGCCAAGACCUAUAGACUCCAUAUUCCUAGGGAUUUGAAGGAACUUCAGAGCAGCCUUCAGAGGAGGACUGCUUGGACUUUAAAAUCACGUAUCAACCAGCUGGCUCUAUGAAGUUUGGACUGCAAUAUUAUGUGAUGAUAGCUGAUGGGGAUAUGGUUUGAUCCUCAGUGAGAAACCAUUUUGGGGAUGGAGAAGGAAAAGACUUCUGUGGAGCAUCUAACUUUGAAAGCACAGACACCAACAAAAAUUCAUACAUACAUACAAACAAACAUACAUAUGUAUGUUAAUGUAUAUGUGUGUGUGUGUGUAUAUUUAUAUAAAAUUACUUUUUCAUGUCAGAAGAGGGUCAGGUCUGUGGUGGCUGGUAUAAACAGCUGCACACCAGAGCAGCUGGUGAACACAUGUGAACACGUGGGAGGGAGGUAGCAUGAGCAAGGAUGAAAUAGCAUGGCUGGCAUGGAAUUUCUUCUUAGAGAGAGACUGCUGCUGCCUCUGUACAGCUUCUCUGGCUUUCCCUAGGGUUAAGUUGCUUAUUUAACCUGUCUCACAGUAAAUAAGACUUGGAAGAGCUUCAUACAAGCUUUGACUUCACACAAAACGUGACACCCUUCCAUGUGCCAGGGUUGAGCAGAUAAACAGACAAAGCUGAAGAGCCCUUCCACAAAGCAGCUCUUUCCAGAUACUUCUCAGGAUGUGAGCACCAAUGUUGAGCUUAUCCAGCUCUCAAGGGGACAUGAUAUUUUUGUCUGUAGGAAAUGCUUUUUGUUUCUGUCUAAAAGGAGAAUAUGGGCAAUGCUGCCUUCUGAAAACUGCAGUAAGAAGCUGCUUUCAAUGCCUUCCCCACUUUUCUUAUUGCUCCCCAGUUAAAUUUCACAUGGAUUUCAUUUAUUGUGCUUAAUGGCUUAGC